Molecule: long non-coding RNA, 219 nt
Organism: Polypterus senegalus (gray bichir)
Lineage: Eukaryota; Metazoa; Chordata; Cladistia; Polypteriformes; Polypteridae
Exons: 3
Source: RefSeq, a predicted model, not a curated record
UUACUUACUUGGCAGCCAGUCUUGACAGCAAAACUGUUGUAUACAGGACAUGGGAUGGCUGAGUAUUACCAUAUAAUAAAGUAAAGGCCUGGGUAAGGGCAGUACACGACAUCAUCAGGACACUGGGAUAAAAGGGCAGUGCCAGGCUGAAGCCUAUUGCAAUGAAACAAUCCUGAGCACUUAUGUACCCACCAAACAAUGGACCAAUUUCGCACCACC